CGUAGGAAUCCUCCAUAGAAGCGUAGUGAGGCGCAGAGAACAACGCCCAGCAGACUGGACUGCAAUCACUUUCCCUACACGCGGACAGAGACGUGCAACCAAACAGACACACGAGACAGGAUCAACUAGGCAGAGAGAGUGAGUGACUAUGACAAGUGUGAAGAUUUGGCAACUACUUCUGUGGCCGUUUGCACUCAUCUCUGAGGGAAAAGCAGAAUGCCCACUACCAGUUCUGGAUGGCAAUUAUGUCUUGACCCCAGAAUCUGCACUGCAGAAUAAUUUCCCAGAGAAUUCAGAAGCUUUCCUGGAGUGUUCCAAUGGAUAUGAGAGAGAGGCUGGGUCAACUUCAAUCCUCUGUACGGAUGGCAAGUGGAGUGAUGUAGAAUUAAUUUGCAAAAAGCGGGAUUGUGGUCAACCUAAACCUUCACCAAAAAUGAGCUACAUUAUUGAAAGUGGAACAUUGUUUGGAGAAUACAUAAAACCCAGAUGUGAGAGGGGGUAUUUCCUAGAAGGGUCAAGCUACAGGCAAUGUCUUGUAAACGGUUGGAGUGGAAGGUCUGAAUGUACACUGAUAACGUGUGAUCCGCCUAUCGAAAUUGAAAAUGGCAAGAUAGUCUCAUACAAGGAAGCUCCUGAGCUUGAUGAUGUCAUUGAAUAUUCCUGCAAUGCAAACUACAUCCUCGCUGGAAACAGAUACAUGAAAUGUGGAGAAGAUGGGGAGUAUGAUUCACAUCCACCAAUAUGCCAAGACAUGAAAAUACAGACAAAAGAAAGCAUUACCACAAACAUAGACACAACCAACAGUGGUUUACAUGAAAGGGUUGGGGAACAGCCCGCUACUUAUUCACAAAGUAGUGUGAUUAUGGGUUCUGUGGUAUCUGGCAAUUUGUAUUUUUGUUUUAUUUUGUUUGUAUUGUUCUUCUAAACAGAAGAGGUGAGAAUAUUUCUUAAUCUCUCAACUGGCUUUAAAAUCAUUUUGGCAUACUUAAGCAUGGCAAACUGGCACUCCGUUUGUAUUGCUGCUUAAGAUAUGCAUUCAUAGAAACACUGUCUGUUUACUCUAGCUGCCACAUGCAUGAAUCAGUCCUGCGUGAACCCUAUCUUUACAUAUGGCGUUUCUUUAUGAGAACUUAGUCUGAUGCUUGAUAAAAAUGCUUUACUUGACUUUUUUCACACUUGAAAUAGUUAAUUAAUUUGUUAAUUGUUAAAGGGAUAGUUCACCCAAAAAUAAAAAAAUCUGUCAUCAUUUUCUCACCCUCAUAUUGUUCCAAACCUGUAUGACUUACUUUUUUUUUGGCGGAACAGAAAAGGAGGUCAUAAUCACAAUGUUUACCUCUGUCACCAUUCAUUUUCAUUGCAUCUUUUUUCCAUACCCUCCUGAGACCCGAGCGUGACUACUGUGUGGAUUUUCCAUUCCCUUUUUGAUUUGUAACUAAUAGCCUCUAAGAAACAUAAAAAAUAAAAAUAAACUUUUUUUUUAAACAAAUAGUUUUCCCAAAAAUUAAUGUCACCAUAUGUGGACAGUGGGAAUAAGUUGUGAAAUUUCUAAAUAAUACCAAGCUAAAGAAAGUUUUUCAAUCAAAUUGUUUAUUAUGUUUCCAGUCAUUACAUCAUAAAUUAGCAUAAAUAAUUCUAAUUCAAAGUAACGGCCAGCAUCAUCCAAUCACUGCCAACCAUGUUAAAAUAAAAUUGUGCAUGCAUUAUUCGGAAUCUGUGUACUGAAUACAAUUGCCCCAUGUCUGCCAAACAUUUUGAGUGGUCCAAACAUCAUCCGCAGUCUGAAACUGAAAUUUGACCGGAUGUUAGGAGUGAAUGCAUUUGGCUGCAUAGGAAAGCUAUAGGAUGCUCUCUUGCACACUAAUUAGGGAAUGACUUAACCUCCAUUGUGCUGUCUGUCUGCACUGGUCUCAGAACCGUUUGAAAUGCACCUUAUUUUCAUCCUAACUCCAGAUACAGCCUCUGAAAGCAACAUUUUCCAGCUUUUGGAUGCAUCUGUUUAUUCUCAAUGUGAUAAUGCACAGUGACUAUAGGAUAUUUUAAGGAAAUUAGUCCUCAUACAUGGUCAUUGUGUUUAACAGCGUACCGUUUCGCAAUAAAUCAAUGACAUUUUUAAAAUGGGAUAUCAGAUGAAACUAGAGACUCUACUCUUUUGACUCAAACAGGUUUUAAGUAGAAACUUAAGAGGUUUCUUACCAGAUGUAGUUUUGUUGCCGUUUCUCCCAAAGACAAACUCAGCUGAGAUCGGCGCCAUGUUGUUUUGUCACAUUGUCCGUGCAUCGAAAGUUUAACCCUAUAAUGACAGCCUUGAGUCUCCUGAACUGAGACCAGUUAGUUUAAAUGAAAUGAAAUUAUGCAAAGCCUAUAGCGAAGCCAAAACGUAAUGUCCACUCAUGUGGGCACGGGGUCUAAGGAGGAUACAAUGAAAGUAAAUGUUGACUGAGGCUGUCACUCCAUCUAACAUCUCCUUGUGUUCCACAGAAGAAAGAAAUUCAUAUGGAUUUGAAACAAAUGAGGGUGUGUAAAAGAUGACAGAAUUUUCACUUUGGGGUGAAUUGGAAUUUUCAUUUGUACUUCAUUUUACAGUGUCCUUGUUUAUAUGAGCCUGUACAGUAUGUUACUAUAAUAAAUUAUAAAAGAAAUAACAAUUACUUUGUGUGAUUAGAAACAGCUCCUCAAAUUUUUCAGUAUGUACUUUUGUACAUACAUAGUAACAUGAACACUGAAAAAUAAAAUAUGACCAAAUUUUGUUUUACUGGUUUCAAGGAAGUGCCUUGAAACCAGCAGGUUACUAAUUAAUGGAAAACAACUUUAAGGAAGAUCAGGGGUUCUAGGUAGCUUAAUUAAUUCUGGUGUGACUUGUAAAAAUGUAUUGCUGUCAUCUGGGCACAUAAUGAGCAUAAACAUUAAAAUGAAAGGGUGUGAAGGGGUUGCCUGAUGUUGCUAACAGAAUGACAAAAACAAAUUUAUGAUGAGCUGAUUAUUGUCCAAAUGCGAAUUACAUCCAGACAGCAUGCAGCACAGAUGGCUAAUAGAAUAUUAACAAAAAUUUAAUUAGUUCAAUCAAUAAAUAAUGUAUUCAAAUUACUUUAUCUCCUCGUUUGAAAAUGCUGCAUAGGUCAUACUAUACUGGCGAAGAACAGAGGUCAAAAGAGGAGUUAUUGCUAUGUCAAAGUCUCUAAACUCAAGGCAUCCUCCUAAAAGAAUCUCUGGCACACAUGUGUUUCCACCUCUGAAAGUGCAGUUUUAGUGAGACAUUGUAAAGUCAGCUAUUUAUAGUGCACCACAACACAAGUUCUUUGAAGGGAUCAGAUUUGCUGUGACCACACAGUGACUGAAGCAAACCUGAACAUGAGCAAAUGUACUGUAUUUAAUGUGAUUGUAACCUGAAACAAUUAUUUCACUCUGUAUAUCCCCUUUAAAAAGUAUUGGUCUGCAGUAGGCUACACAGCAGUGUGGUUACCGGGACAAUAGCAGAGAUAGUUGCUGUUAUUCAAGCCAAGCAGUCAAUUACAUAAACUGAAAAACCAGUCAGACAUUGUACUCUCAAAAGCAAAGAGAGAUUCCAUUAAAAUUUGGUUCCCAAAAAGUCUCUAUGGAUGGUUGCUAAGGCGUUCUGGCGGAUUGCUAAGUGGUUGCUUACUGGCCCAAGUCAAAAGAGCCCAUCCCCAAGUCUCUAUAGAGUGUGUUUGCAUGCACGUUCUUACACCAAUUAUGCUUAAUAAGCCAACAAUAAGGCUUUGGGUUAAGAUCAUAAACGGUUUAAGCAUAAACUGAUCGGCACACGUACAUUUUUGCCUUCUAUUCUGAUUUUGUGUUGCAAGUAAACACCAUUACUGGCAUUCUAACCGGCUUAUCCAAUGUGCACAAGCAUUGUGCGCAUGCUUGUUUACAUUUUGAAGUCGAAUGCAGAGAAUAAUCCAGUGGUUUCAAAUUAAAUGUAAACGCGUGUUUCCUAAAAGUUAUCAGCGUAUUGCUGUGCAUGGAAAUGUGCUCUUAUGAUAUUCUGGUCCAUAUAUAGGCUAUGACUUAAAUUUAAAGGGACAGUUCACCCAAAAAUGA
Molecule: RNA transcript, 4059 nt
Organism: Myxocyprinus asiaticus (Chinese sucker)
Lineage: Eukaryota; Metazoa; Chordata; Actinopteri; Cypriniformes; Catostomidae
Gene name: complement decay-accelerating factor-like
Exons: 11
Source: RefSeq, a predicted model, not a curated record